CCUACGGGAGGCAGCAGUGGGGAAUAUUGGACAAUGGGCGAAAGCCUGAUCCAGCAAUGCCGCGUGAGUGAUGAAGGCCUUAGGGUUGUAAAGCUCUUUUACCAGGAUGAUAAUGACAGUACCUGGAGAAUAAGCUCCGGCUAACUCCGUGCCAGCAGCCGCGGUAAUACGGAGGGAGCUAGCGUUGUUCGGAAUUACUGGGCGUAAAGCGUACGUAGGCGGUUAUUCAAGUCAGAGGUGAAAGCCUGGAGCUCAACUCCAGAACUGCCUUUGAAACUAGAUAGCUAGAAUCUUGGAGAGGCGAGUGGAAUUCCGAGUGUAGAGGUGAAAUUCGUAGAUAUUCGGAAGAACACCAGUGGCGAAGGCGACUCACUGGACAAGUAUUGACGCUGAGGUACGAAAGCGUGGGGAGCAAACAGGAUUAGAUACCCUAGGUAGUCCACGCCGUAAACGAUGAUAACUAGCUGUUCGGGCUCUACGAGCUUGAGUGGCGCAGCUAACGCAUUAAGUUAUCCGCCUGGGGAGUACGGUCGCAAGNUUAAAACUCAAAGGAAUUGAAGG
Molecule: ribosomal RNA, 561 nt
Filed under: uncultured bacterium
Lineage: Bacteria
Description: bacterial SSU rRNA
Rfam family: Bacterial small subunit ribosomal RNA
Source: RNAcentral